GGACCAUUUNCCCUAUGGAGGGGAUAACCCCGGGAAACUGGGGAUAAUACCCCAUAGACUAUAGAUGCUGGAAUGCUUUGUAGUUGAAAGGUCAGCCGCCAUAGGAUGGGUCUGCGGCCGAUUAGGUUGUUGUUGGGGUAACGGCCCACCAAGCCUGUAAUCGGUACGGGUUGUGGGAGCAAGAGCCCGGAGAUGGAUUCUGAGACACGAAUCCAGGCCCUACGGGGCGCAGCAGGCGCGAAAACUUUACAAUGCGGGAAACCGUGAUAAGGGAACUCCGAGUGCCCGUAAAAUCGGGCUGUCCAUCUGUGUAAAUAACAGGUGAAGAAAGGGCCGGGCAAGACCGGUGCCAGCCGCCGCGGUAAUACCGGCGGCUCGAGUGGUGGCCACUAUUACUGGGCUUAAAGCGUUCGUAGCUGGUCUGUUAAGUCUCUGGGGAAAUCUACUGGCUUAACCAAUAGGCGUCUCAGGGAUACUGGCAGACUAGGGACCGGGAGAGGUGAGAGGUACUCCAGGGGUAGGAGUGAAAUCCUGUAAUCCUUGGGGGACCACCUGUGGCGAAGGCGUCUCACCAGAACGGCUCCGACAGUGAGGGACGAAAGCUGGGGGAGCAAACCGGAUUAGAUACCCGGGUAGUCCCAGCCGUAAACGAUGCGCGUUAGGUGUAUCGGUGACCACGAGUCACCGAGGUGCCGAAGAGAAAUCGUGAAACGUGCCGCCUGGGAAGUACGGUCGCAAGNCUGAAACUUAA
RNAcentral lists this ribosomal RNA (751 nucleotides) under uncultured archaeon. RNAcentral describes it as "bacterial SSU rRNA". It matches the Rfam family "Archaeal small subunit ribosomal RNA", at positions 102 to 859 of the family's 1478-position model. The record is from RNAcentral.